Molecule: small nuclear RNA, 160 nt
Filed under: Olea europaea subsp. europaea
Lineage: Eukaryota; Viridiplantae; Streptophyta; Magnoliopsida; Lamiales; Oleaceae
Rfam family: U1 spliceosomal RNA
About the family: U1 is a small nuclear RNA (snRNA) component of the spliceosome (involved in pre-mRNA splicing). Its 5' end forms complementary base pairs with the 5' splice junction, thus defining the 5' donor site of an intron.
Source: RNAcentral
AUUCUUAUUUGGACUGGUUAAUAGGAAAUCAUGAAGGCCCAUGCCCUCUACUGGUGACUUUCAUUACACUUGGGAAGGGAUCCGGCUUAAGAUCAGCCCAAGUAGUUGAGCCUACAUCAUUAUUUGUGAGAGUGAGAAUCUGCAUUUGUGCGGCCCCCUU